Long non-coding RNA from Parus major (Great Tit), 671 nucleotides. RefSeq lists it as uncharacterized. The transcript has 4 exons. The record is from RefSeq and is a predicted model, not a curated record. NCBI's taxonomy places the organism in Eukaryota, Metazoa, Chordata, Aves, Passeriformes, Paridae.
GGUGCCUUGCAGCUAGAAGCUUUGUGAUGCCUGGGUGAGGAGGAAUUAAUUAGCAGCCUUCUUGCUACGUGGUGGUGUCCUCUUUCGCUGCUCUCAGAUUGCAAAGGCUUGAAUAAUACCGCCCACCUUCCCAGAGAGGUCAAGUUACUGUUUCAGGCACUGCAGUUAAAUAAUGUACCGUGUGCCAGGGAGAAACGGUGGACUAACAGCCCUGAUGGCUCUCAGGUUCCUGAAUGUGGUGUCAAAUGCUGACACACUGAAUUAGCUGAAUCUGCUGCAUUCUUUCAGGUAUUUAAAAAGGCCUAAAGGAAAUUAGAGACUGGCACUUCCGUUACAGUCUUUUAAGCUCUGGUUUGAUUUCUUAAUUGCCAUAUCAUCAGCAGCAUCACUCCUCAUCAGCUCUGCCUGCACAUGGUGAGACCUGGGUUGCCAAUCUGGUGAGCUGGCCAAGGAGUUGCCAAAUCCUUCUUCCCUCCCAAACCAAAUGACUGUUUCCCUUCCCACCAGCUUUAUGAUCGGUUCUCGGUAGGACUUGUUUGGAGAAUAAAAUGUAACUGAGGAGUCUGCUUGGGACUAGGUGACCUGAGUACUGUCCCUCCAGAUUGUGACCUGAUGGGCUGUGGCUAGGCUGGUCCCAGAGAUGCAGGUAGAGUCUCCUAAAUUCAUUGUAC